This 468-nucleotide ribosomal RNA is filed under the name uncultured bacterium. Its description in RNAcentral is "partial 16S ribosomal RNA". It matches the Rfam family "Bacterial small subunit ribosomal RNA", at positions 28 to 507 of the family's 1533-position model. The record is from RNAcentral.
GACGAACGCUGGCGGCGUGCUUAACACAUGCAAGUCGAACGGAAAGGCCCUGCUUUUGUGGGGUGCUCGAGUGGCGAACGGGUGAGUAACACGUGAGUAACCUGCCCUUGACUUUGGGAUAACUUCAGGAAACUGGGGCUAAUACCGGAUAGGAGCUCCUGCUGCAUGGUGGGGGUUGGAAAGUUUCGGCGGUUGGGGAUGGACUCGCGGCUUAUCAGCUUGUUGGUGGGGUAGUGGCUUACCAAGGCUUUGACGGGUAGCCGGCCUGAGAGGGUGACCGGCCACAUUGGGACUGAGAUACGGCCCAGACUCCUACGGGAGGCAGCAGUGGAGAAUAUUGCACAAUGGGCGGAAGCCUAAUGCAGCAACGCCGCGUGCGGGAUGAAGGCCUUCGGGUUGUAAACCGCUUUCGCCUGUGACGAAGCGUGAGUGACGGUAAUGGGUAAAGAAGCACCGGCUAACUACGUG